This 414-nucleotide ribosomal RNA is filed under the name Triticum aestivum (bread wheat). Its description in RNAcentral is "partial small subunit ribosomal RNA". The record is from RNAcentral. Lineage: Eukaryota; Viridiplantae; Streptophyta; Magnoliopsida; Poales; Poaceae.
AUGGAUGCGACGGCGAUGACGGUAGGAGGGCACCUUGCAGCUGCCAGCCUUGCCCUCAUGAGGAGGAGGAUGGGCGCACAUAGCCACCAAUGGUUGUGCUCCUCAUCUUCCAAGGUGAGUGAUCAAGGGGACCGAGCUAGACGAGUCCAGCUCGGCCACCACGACGCAACGCUCCCAGCAGUGGGCACCCGGCUCCAUGGACGAGGAGGACGGCUAGGACCCCAAGUCCAAGCCGACGAUUCUGACCUCGACUCCCCACCCAAGCCGGAGCAGAAGCUGAUCGUCGUGUGCCAGGUGGCUGACCCGCACCAGUAUUCCUGCUUCUACUGGCUCCCAAGAGCGCAUCCAUGUGUACGCUCUUACUGCCAACCCGACUGGCUACCUCCCGCCUCACGCAUAGGAUGGAGAGCAUAA